GGUUAAGGAUUGGAGCUCCUUGAAGUCCAAAAGAAGGUUAUGCUGGGUGGAUAGAGCUGUUGAGCUAUGGAUCCCACAGUACUAUUUAUCCUAUGUUAGAUCAGAUCGGAUCGACCGAAGGGAUGAUAGGGUUGUGGCUUGCAUAUCUCAGGAGCUGCAUUACCUGUACGCUGCCUCUUUUUUUGGAUUGAAGGGAGCUCUACACCUCUCG
RNAcentral lists this microRNA precursor (211 nucleotides) under Malus domestica (apple). Its description in RNAcentral is "miR159d stem-loop (mdm-MIR159d)". Its record names the gene mdm-MIR159d. It matches the Rfam family "MIR159 microRNA precursor family". The record is from miRBase by way of RNAcentral. Lineage: Eukaryota; Viridiplantae; Streptophyta; Magnoliopsida; Rosales; Rosaceae.